RNAcentral lists this small nucleolar RNA (135 nucleotides) under Sphenodon punctatus (tuatara). RNAcentral describes it as "Small nucleolar RNA SNORA84 (ENSSPUG00000002738.1)". It matches the Rfam family "Small nucleolar RNA SNORA84". The record is from Rfam by way of RNAcentral. Lineage: Eukaryota; Metazoa; Chordata; Lepidosauria; Sphenodontia; Sphenodontidae.
GCCCUGUGGUUACUGGACACUGUUGUGUUGGUACAGUGAUUCAGUUAAUAGAAAUGGGCCAAAAGUAAUUCUGUGACUUAUGCAUGGGAUCUGUGAUACUUUGGCAGCUUCCAUAGCCCGGUCACAGUUACAUUU